Morus notabilis is the source of this 1179-nucleotide long non-coding RNA. RefSeq lists it as uncharacterized. The transcript is spliced from 4 exons. NCBI's taxonomy places the organism in Eukaryota, Viridiplantae, Streptophyta, Magnoliopsida, Rosales, Moraceae. The record is from RefSeq and is a predicted model, not a curated record.
UUUAGAUUUAGGAUUUUAGGUUUCCUUUGAUAUUGAUGAUGAUCUAAAUUAUGUUCUUCUGUUCAGUCGGAGUUUGAUGUUGUUAUAUGUGAUUUUCUUUUGCUUAAUUCUUUGAACGGAGUCUUAUUACUUGUUAACUUCAGAGUUUUUGUGGGGUUACCGUAGUUCCCGAUUUUGUUGCUUAGUGAAACAUCAAUUAUCGAGAAUUUGGAUUCUUUAUGAAAUGAUACAUCAAUACUUGAUGAAAAAUUCGGAUUUUAUAGCAUGUCUGUAUAACUUGCUGUUAAUAAGCAUUAAUGUUGAGGUAUAUCUUUCUACUCUAAUUUAAUGGGUUUUUAUUAUUUUUUGUCAUUUGUUGAUAGUUUUUUAGAUUUUAAUGUUUUGUAGAAUCUCCAAAGCAAACACAAGCAAGAAGCAGCAAAGAAUUGUAAUUGCAUGAUUGCCGAUGUUGAGAAUGCUCUGGCCAAGUUUACGUAGGCCAAAGAAGCACAAAAGAAGAUAGAAAAUCUGAAGAAAGAAGGAAAACCAAUGCCCAAGAGUCUUUCUGAGGAAUGCUUGGCCAAAAGUGGACAAAUAAGUAAGAAUGCUUGGCGUCAUCUUCAUGUUCCAGAUUACUUGUGUUGAGUGACCAGUUCCUGAUGAUGAUGAUGGCCCAUAACAUUGGGGUCAAACAGUUUUGCUUCAUUUAUUUUUUCCUGACUUCUCCAUAGAAAAGGAUGGGCAAUAUCUUCGACCAUCAGAUCCUGCCUAUGAGCAAGUACUGGAUUCCUUAGCUAUGGUUGCUAGACAUACCCCGCUACCACUUUUAGAAGCUCUUCUAAAAUGGAGAGAAAGAUAAAGGGCAGCUUACUUCUGAUUUAUGGAGAGGAAAAAAAAAUAAUACUGGUCAAGAAAUCCCUUUAUAACUGAAGGGUUAUAUUGCUGGCUCAACUUCGAAUUUUGGAGUAGGUUGAUAACGGAUCUCAACUGCUUGAGAAGUUUGAUUCUUGAUCUUAGAUUUUGGAUGUUGUAACCCCAUUGCCUUGGCUUUUUGAGUCUGUUGGCUCGCAAUUGAUUUGUUUCAAGGAUGUUAAUAUUAGCUUGAAAUAGUUUUACUUGGACUAGAAUAGUCGAUUCGGCAGGCCUCGAAAUUUUGCACAUGAAUUCAAUCAUUCUUUUCUUCAAUAGCGUUGUUGUAAC